GGAGCUUAGUUGUCCUCAGCGACCAGGAUGAUCUGAUUUUCCUGCUGGCCUUUAUCCUUCUCCUAUACCUAACAGAUUUAUCUCCACUCAAGACAUUUUAUUCAACGAAGAAAUUCUCCAAUCAGCUACAUAAGCAGUAUGAGCUUGGCAGCUGUAGUAUAGACUUUUACUGAAUUCCCGUUUUCAAAGUGGCACCCUUGCCUCCAUUAAUUUCCAAUAUCCCUGAGUCCAGAUAUAAUAUUCCUGAGUUCAGAGCCUUUCUGAAGCAACAUAUUCAAUAUGUGACCUCUAGUCUCAGGGCUGUUUGUUGGAGAAAAGGAUCUGUAGGACUAACUGUAAAAUAUAUGCACUUUCAACCAACCCUCUUGUUUAUCAGCCUUUACACACACCACCAGUUUUGAGGUAUUAUGUCUCUCAGACUCCUGAAACUUUCUAAGGCUCUAUAGAUCUGAUGGCUUUAUUUCUUGUUGCCACCCCUCUCACACACUCCACUGAAAUCUUUGCCUUCUCUAAUCCAUCCCCCCACCCCCCGCCCGUCUUCUGAAGUUAAUGUCUAAAUGCCUGUUUCUUUAUUGCUAUUUUAGUCAGGUUUCAGGAGAGAGUGAACAAAGAUAAAUGUUUGUAUUAUAUUAACAUAUUUAUCCAGAAGAAUUCAAACACGUUGUAUCUAUAUCCUGAAGAUAACUUUAUCAGAUACGUUUCAUUUAAGAAUUAGACAUGCAUAUAAUUUUGUAAUCUCUCCAGUGGCUCACUGAGCUAAAUGAAUAUAAAGAUGAUCUGUGACAUCUAUCAUCUCAUUCAUAUUUAGGGUUGAUUAAUUAACCUAGUGAGCUAUGUUGUUAUCCACUUUUUUUUUCAUAAUAGCAACAAGUGAGUGCAUUUAUGCUCUAAACAAAAAAUAUGCCCAGACAGAGGAGAGUCCUUCUUCAGCCAAGUAUUCAUAAAUAUACAGGGCUUUGCUUAAGCUUCCAAUGACCUCAAUAUCUCACAGGCAAAUUAUUUUUUUAUUGGCUAGUAUACUCUGAAUCUUGAUCUGUACUUGCAUUUAAGUUUUAAAGUAACAACUGAAAAAAAAACAAUCUAGGGGCUUACGUUUAAAUAUUAUAUCUAUACGUAUCAAUUUUCUUUACAAAAAUCUAUCCUGUGAGAUUUUACAUAAUUUUCAAACAGUUUAAGUCACUAGUCAAAAUUAUAACAGUCACAGGAAAGUAGAUCAGAUAGGAAAAACUGUUAAACUCACUUGAAUGUUUUCAACAAGAUUGACUAUUCUGUUUUUAGAAAAACUGUUUUGCACUUCUCUUCACUAUUUGACAUCAUCCUUUCUUUCAAAUCUUAUCUCUUAACUAUUGCUCCUCAAGAAUGCUACACUCCAGCGAAUGUUAUCAAUAUUUUUCUCUAUCUGUAUUUUACCAUCCUGAUUUCAUAUUUUCUUCCCAUUAUUUAUUAGGAUAUUCAUCUACCAACAACCUUCACGAAAUUAAAAUCUUUCCCUUCUCUAAGGUCCAAUUAAAUUGCCACUAAAUGGCCACAUAGCAUUCAUCCAUCCUGAAACGAUCCCAACUUAUCCUGAAAUUCCAGGAUACCAUUUUUAUACCAUUUUCAUAGCUCCUACCUUGUAUUACAUCUAUUUAUAUGCCUGCUUUAUAUUAUUAGUUUAAAUAACUAAAGCAGGUUGUUAAAAAAAACUUGGACUAUGCAGUCAGAUAAAUCCAGGUUUGAAUUAAAGCUCUGCCAUUCACUAUCUGCAUGACUCUGGGUAAAUCACUGAUUUCAUUAUGAGCACCAAAUUCAAGAUUUGUAAAAGUGAAAUAAUAAUAACGGUCUUGUAGGCUUCCUUUAAUGAUUAAAUGUGAUUGCAUAAUCUUAAUACAUACUACAACAUUAUGAAUAAUAAUAAAUG
This 1900-nucleotide long non-coding RNA is filed under the name Homo sapiens (human). RNAcentral's name for it is "HSALNT0286007". Lineage: Eukaryota; Metazoa; Chordata; Mammalia; Primates; Hominidae. The record is from RNAcentral.